This is a long non-coding RNA of Triticum dicoccoides, 223 nucleotides long. RefSeq lists it as uncharacterized. The transcript has 3 exons. The record is from RefSeq and is a predicted model, not a curated record. NCBI's taxonomy places the organism in Eukaryota, Viridiplantae, Streptophyta, Magnoliopsida, Poales, Poaceae.
AUAGCAGUGCCAGGCUAAACUAUCUGUAUGUACACAGUAGAGAGGUCGUUGAUAUGCUUACAUCCUCUUCUGCUAUUAAGUUGCAAAAGCAAGCACGAAGGGCCACUUCGAGUCGCUUGGUGACAUAAUGAUUUUAGGAGCAUAACCGGCAAGCCUACCUUCAGUUUUAGCUCGUGGUUUGGAAUUCCUGGGAAGGUCAAUUUGUUAAGGAACUCUGUUGGAC